This 245-nucleotide ribosomal RNA is filed under the name uncultured bacterium. RNAcentral describes it as "partial small subunit ribosomal RNA". It matches the Rfam family "Bacterial small subunit ribosomal RNA", at positions 26 to 285 of the family's 1533-position model. The record is from RNAcentral.
AGAAUCAACGCUGGCGGCGUGCCUAACACAUGCAAGUCGCACGAGAAAGUGGAGCAAUCCACGAGUAAAGUGGCGCACGGGUGAGUAACACGUGAAUAAUCCUACCUCCGAGUGGGGAAUAACUGAGAGAAAUCUUAGCUAAUACCGCAUAAUACCCACGGGUCAAAGCAGCAAUGCGCUUGGAGAGGAGUUCGCGGCCGAUUAGCUAGUUGGCGGGUAAUGGCCCACCAAGGCGAUGAUCGGUA